AGCGUAGGUGGCCUAACAUGUCAACUGUGAAAACCCGGAGCUCAACUCCGGACUUGCAGUUGAAACUGGUAGGCUUGAGGACGGUAGAGGAAGACGGAACUGCCAGUGUAGGGGUAAAAAUCCUUAGAUAUUGGCAGGAACGCCGGUGACGAAGGUGGUUUUCUGGGCCGGUUCUGACACUGAUGCUCGAAAGCCAGGGGAGCGAACGG
This 209-nucleotide ribosomal RNA is filed under the name uncultured Mesotoga sp. RNAcentral's name for it is "partial 16S ribosomal RNA". It matches the Rfam family "Bacterial small subunit ribosomal RNA", at positions 568 to 775 of the family's 1533-position model. Lineage: Bacteria; Thermotogati; Thermotogota; Thermotogae; Kosmotogales; Kosmotogaceae. The record is from RNAcentral.